RNAcentral lists this unclassified non-coding RNA (199 nucleotides) under uncultured Russula. Its description in RNAcentral is "sequence contains ITS1". The record is from RNAcentral. Lineage: Eukaryota; Fungi; Basidiomycota; Agaricomycetes; Russulales; Russulaceae.
UUGUAAUAACGGAGGUGCUGAGGCUGUCGCUAACUUUGUGCACGCCCCAGUGCUCUCUCACAAUCCAUCUCACCCCUUUGUGCAUCACCGCGUGGGUGCUCUCCUUUUGAUUCAUUUCGAAAGGGGGCAUUUGCGUUUUUAUACAAAAACCACUGCAUGUGUAGAAUGUCUUACUAUUUGCGAUAAUGCGCAAUCAAUA